This 223-nucleotide ribosomal RNA is filed under the name uncultured microorganism. RNAcentral's name for it is "partial 16S ribosomal RNA". It matches the Rfam family "Archaeal small subunit ribosomal RNA", at positions 330 to 551 of the family's 1478-position model. The record is from RNAcentral.
GUGCAGCAGUCGCGAAACCUCCGCAAUGCGGGAAACCGUGACGGGGUCACCCCGAGUGCCACCCGAUGAGGGUGGCUUUUCCCCGGUCUAAAAAGCCGGGGGCAAUUAAAGCGGGGGCAAGUCUGGUGUCAGCCGCCGCGGUAAUACCAGCCCCGCGAGUGGUCGGGACGGUUUAUUGGGCCUAAAGCGUCCGUAGCCGGCUCGGUAAGUCCCUCCUUAAAAU